Long non-coding RNA from Andrographis paniculata, 573 nucleotides. RefSeq lists it as uncharacterized. NCBI's taxonomy places the organism in Eukaryota, Viridiplantae, Streptophyta, Magnoliopsida, Lamiales, Acanthaceae. The record is from RefSeq and is a predicted model, not a curated record. The transcript has 2 exons.
GCUCUUGUCCGGAAGCUGUUCCGCCACCUCCGCCAGAGCCUUCUCCGCCGUGGCUGACACCGUCUCCGCCACUUCCGCCGCCGCUUCCACCUCUUCCAACACCAUUUCUGCCUUACCUUCCAAUGUGCGAAAUUUUUGGUUCCAGAAAGGCCUUCCGCCGCCGCAGGGGGUCCAAAGGGCGGCAGACGGCGGCGGCGCCCCCACCACAAGCCGGCGGCGACGGAUGUGACUUUGUAGCGGUUGUAUAGCAGAUUGGUGAAGGAAGAUUGCCAACUUCUUCCAGCCAUAAGAAGAAGCAAUUCAAUCAAGAAUUAAUUUUAAAUUAUGAUAUGAGGAAUUGAAAGGUAAGGAUAAAAUUGUGAGGAAAGAAUUAAGUAAAUAAUAGGAUCAAGAGAAUGAAGCUAGCUAGCUAAUAACUAAUUGGUUUGAAAUAUAUGUAUAUAUAUAUAUAUAUCAUUUAUAAACACGCCAAGGAAUUAUGUCGUUGAGUUUACAUGCACUUCCUUCCACCUUUUAUGCCCAACAACAUUGCUUUGCAAGCCAACAUUUUAUUGUGUAUUUCAUUUUGAUACA